RNAcentral lists this ribosomal RNA (247 nucleotides) under uncultured bacterium. RNAcentral describes it as "partial small subunit ribosomal RNA". It matches the Rfam family "Bacterial small subunit ribosomal RNA", at positions 26 to 278 of the family's 1533-position model. The record is from RNAcentral.
AGGACGAACGCUGGCGGCGUGCUUAACACAUGCAAGUCGAGCGGAAAGGCCCUUCGGGGUACUCGAGCGGCGAACGGGUGAGUAACACGUGAGCAAUCUGCCCUUAGCUUCGGGAUAGCUCCGGGAAACCGGAAUUAAUACCGAAUAUGACUACGGUUGACAUCAGCCAUGGUGGAAAGUUUUUCGGCUAGGGAUGAGCUCGCGGCCUAUCAGCUAGUUGGUGGGGUAACGGCCUACCAAGGCGACG